Molecule: small nuclear RNA, 108 nt
Organism: Pteronotus mesoamericanus
Lineage: Eukaryota; Metazoa; Chordata; Mammalia; Chiroptera; Mormoopidae
Source: RefSeq, a predicted model, not a curated record
GUGCUCACUUCUGCAGCACAUAUACUAAAAAUUGGAACGGCACAGAGAAGAUUAGCAUGGCCUCUAUGCAAGGAUGACACGCAAAUUCAUGAAGCAUUCCAUAUUUUU